This 147-nucleotide ribosomal RNA is filed under the name Scaptomyza cyrtandrae. RNAcentral describes it as "partial 16S ribosomal RNA". Lineage: Eukaryota; Metazoa; Arthropoda; Insecta; Diptera; Drosophilidae. The record is from RNAcentral.
AUAGAUUUUAUUUAUUAAUUUUGGUUUUUUAAAUUUUAAAUAUUAAAAAUAAUUAUAUAAUUAAAAGUUUUAGUAUUGUUUAAAGAAAAAAUAAAUAUAAUAAUAGUUUAAUAGUAUUGUAAAAGAAAAUUGAAAUAUUUUGAAAAA